CAGAUUGAACGCUGGCGGCAGGCCUAACACAUGCAAGUCGAACGGUAACAGGAAGCAGCUUGCUGCUUCGCUGACGAGUGGCGGACGGGUGAGUAAUGUCUGGGAAACUGCCUGAUGGAGGGGGAUAACUACUGGAAACGGUAGCUAAUACCGCAUAACGUCGCAAGACCAAAGAGGGGGACCUUCGGGCCUCUUGCCAUCGGAUGUGCCCAGAUGGGAUUAGCUAGUAGGUGGGGUAACGGCUCACCUAGGCGACGAUCCCUAGCUGGUCUGAGAGGAUGACCAGCCACACUGGAACUGAGACACGGUCCAGACUCCUACGGGAGGCAGCAGUGGGGAAUAUUGCACAAUGGGCGCAAGCCUGAUGCAGCCAUGCCGCGUGUAUGAAGAAGGCCUUCGGGUUGUAAAGUACUUUCAGCGGGGAGGAAGGCGAUAAGGUUAAUAACCUUGUCGAUUGACGUUACCCGCAGAAGAAGCACCGGCUAACUACG
Molecule: ribosomal RNA, 491 nt
Filed under: Lactiplantibacillus plantarum
Lineage: Bacteria; Bacillati; Bacillota; Bacilli; Lactobacillales; Lactobacillaceae
Description: bacterial SSU rRNA
Rfam family: Bacterial small subunit ribosomal RNA
Source: RNAcentral